Molecule: ribosomal RNA, 279 nt
Filed under: uncultured bacterium
Lineage: Bacteria
Description: partial 16S ribosomal RNA
Rfam family: Bacterial small subunit ribosomal RNA
Source: RNAcentral
UGCCAGCCGCCGCGGUAAUACGGAGGGUCCAAGCGUUAAUCGGAAUUACUGGGCGUAAAGGGUGCGUAGGCGGUUAUAUUAGUCGGGUGUUAAAUUGUGGGGCUCAACCUCACAGCCGCAUUCGAAACGGUAUAACUAGAAGAUGUGAGAGGUGAACAGAACUCAUGGUGUAGGGGUGAAAUCCGUUGAUAUCAUGGGGAAUACCAAAUGCGAAGGCAGUUCGCUGGCACAUUCUUGACGCUGAGGCACGAAAGCGUGGGUAGCGAACGGGAUUAGAUA